This 73-nucleotide transfer RNA is filed under the name Bacteroidota bacterium. RNAcentral's name for it is "Bacteroidetes bacterium (marine metagenome) tRNA-Thr". It matches the Rfam family "tRNA". Rfam says of the family: Transfer RNA (tRNA) molecules are approximately 80 nucleotides in length. Their secondary structure includes four short double-helical elements and three loops (D, anti-codon, and T loops). The record is from RNAcentral. Lineage: Bacteria; Pseudomonadati; Bacteroidota. RNAcentral also lists the same sequence under 1 other name.
GCCACCUUAGCUCAGUUGGUAGAGCAACGCAUUCGUAAUGCGUAGGUCUCCGGUUCAAUUCCGGAAGGUGGCC